UGGCUCAGGAUGAACGCUAGCUACAGGCUUAACACAUGCAAGUCGAGGGGCAGCAUUGGAGUAGCAAUACUCAGAUGGCGACCGGCGCACGGGUGAGUAACACGUAUCCAACCUGCCGCUUACUCGGGGAUAGCCUUUCGAAAGAAAGAUUAAUACCCGAUGGUAUAAAGAGUUCGCAUGUUCUCUUUAUUAAAGAAUUUCGGUAAGCGAUGGGGAUGCGUUCCAUUAGAUAGUUGGCGGGGUAACGGCCCACCAAGUCUACGAUGGAUAGGGGUUCUGAGAGGAAGGUCCCCCACAUUGGAACUGAGACACGGUCCAAACUCCUACGGGAGGCAGCAGUGAGGAAUAUUGGUCAAUGGACGCGAGUCUGAACCAGCCAAAGUAGCGUGAAGGAUGACUGCCCUAUGGGUUGUAAACUUCUUUUAUAAGGGAAUAAAGUGAGGGACGUGUCCCUUUUUGUAUGUACCUUAUGAAUAAGGAUCGGCUAACUCCGUGCCAGCCGCCGC
RNAcentral lists this ribosomal RNA (506 nucleotides) under uncultured bacterium. Its description in RNAcentral is "bacterial SSU rRNA". It matches the Rfam family "Bacterial small subunit ribosomal RNA", at positions 20 to 518 of the family's 1533-position model. The record is from RNAcentral.